CACAGGAUUAGAUACCCUGGUAGUCCACGCCGUAAACGGUGGGUACUAGGUGUGGGUUUCCUUCCUUGGGAUCCGUUGCCGUAGCUAACGCAUUAAGUACCCCGCAUGGGGAGUACGGCCGCAAGGAUAUAACUCAAAGAAAUUGACGGGGGCCCGCACAAGCGGCGGAGCAUGUGGAUUAAUUCGAUGCAACGCGAAGAACCUUACCUGGGUUUGACAUGCACAGGACGACUGCAGAGAUGUGGUUUCCCUUGUGGCCUGUGUGCAGGUGGUGCAUGGCUGUCGUCAGCUCGUGUCGUGAGAUGUUGGGUUAAGUCCCGCAACGAGCGCAACCCUUGUCCUAUGUUGCCAGCGGGUUAUGCCGGGGACUCGUAGGAGACUGCCGGGGUCAACUCGGAGGAAGGUGGGGAUGACGUCAAGUCAUCAUGCCCUUUAUGUCCAGGGCUUCACACAUGCUACAAUGGCCGGUACAAAGGGCUGCGUAUGCCGUGAGGUGGAGCGAAUCCUUUCAAAGCCGGUCUCAGUUCGGAUCGGGGUCUGCAACUCGACCCGUGAAGUCGGAG
Molecule: ribosomal RNA, 563 nt
Filed under: uncultured bacterium
Lineage: Bacteria
Description: bacterial SSU rRNA
Rfam family: Bacterial small subunit ribosomal RNA
Source: RNAcentral